Molecule: long non-coding RNA, 773 nt
Filed under: Triticum aestivum (bread wheat)
Lineage: Eukaryota; Viridiplantae; Streptophyta; Magnoliopsida; Poales; Poaceae
Description: long non-coding RNA (TAES_LNC016120)
Source: RNAcentral
AGUGAUGUAUCUUCCUAACCUCCCCUCGCUCAGGCCCCUUCCUUCCCCACUCUCGGCCUAACCCUAGCCGCACCCUUCUUUCUCCUAGCUUAACCCUAACCCUAGCCGCACCAGUGAAGGACUGAUGGUAGAGCGAGCAGUCGGGCAACAACUACGAUGAAUUAUCCCCCUUCCCAGCACCCUCGAUCAGCCCCAUGGCGACCUCGGGUGCUCCCUUCCCGACCUUGACCUCGAAGAACGGCUUCAUGUACAUCGAUGUCUCGUUUGUGUAUAAUUUCCUUCUUACAUCAAACAAUCACUCCUCAAUCUCAAUUUUGCACAGGUGUUGCUAUAUUGGAUGUGGUAAAUUGAUUUGGGCAGAUCUUGAAGAUAAGGAGGGGGAGAGGUUGUGGCGGCGGGCAAACACAAUCGACAAAGAUCACUAUAGUAUGUUUUUUAAGUUAUUUUCCCUAUACCAGAUCAGCUGGAUGAGGUCGAAGAGAAACUUGAAGAUUUGCAUUCAUCACUCAAAAGUUGUACCUUACCUGAAUGUUGAUUCUUAAUUUUUCAUCUGCAAGGCAUGGUUCUCUCCGCUGGUUCUACUCCUUGGUUGAACAAACUUAUAAUCCAUGUUACAAGACAGGUAGAAUUAUUUUUUUACAAGACAAGUAGAACCAUUUUACUUUUGCCUCCUCGGUUUAUUCUUUGAUGAACACAUCAUUUCACGAUUUGUGUUGUAAAAAUUUAAUGGUCUUGGACUAGAUGGUUCUGUUAUAAAGGUAACUAUUAUUAGC